AUACGUAGGGGGCAAGCGUUAUCCGGAUUUACUGGGUGUAAAGGGAGUGUAGGUGGUCUGGCAAGUCAGAUGUGAAAGCCCGCGGCUCAACUGCGGGACUGCAUUUGAAACUGUCAGACUGGAGUGCAGGAGAGGAAAGUGGAAUUCCUAGUGUAGCGGUGAAAUGCGUAGAUAUUAGGAAGAACACCAGUGGCGAGGGCGGCUUUCUGGACUGAAGCGGACACGGAGGCUCGAAAGCGUGGGGAGCAAAAAGGAGUAGAUACCGUGGUAGUCCACGCCGUAAACGAUGAAUACUAGGUGUCGGGUGGCAAAGCCAUUCGGUGCCGCAGCUAACGCAAUAAGUAUUCCACCUGGGGAGUACGUUCGCAAGAAUGAAACUCAAAGGAAUUGACGGGG
RNAcentral lists this ribosomal RNA (396 nucleotides) under uncultured bacterium. RNAcentral's name for it is "partial 16S ribosomal RNA". It matches the Rfam family "Bacterial small subunit ribosomal RNA", at positions 523 to 918 of the family's 1533-position model. The record is from RNAcentral.